This 274-nucleotide ribosomal RNA is filed under the name uncultured bacterium. Its description in RNAcentral is "partial 16S ribosomal RNA". It matches the Rfam family "Bacterial small subunit ribosomal RNA", at positions 523 to 796 of the family's 1533-position model. The record is from RNAcentral.
CUACAGAGGGUGCGAGCGUUAAUCGGAAUUACUGGGCGUAAAGCGCGCGUAGGCGGCUUAUUAAGUCAGAUGUGAAAUCCCCGGGCUCAACCUGGGAACUGCAUCUGAUACUGGUAAGCUAGAGUUUUGGAGAGGGAAGUAGAAUUUCAGGUGUAGCGGUGAAAUGCAUAGAGAUCUGAAGGAAUACCAGUGGCGAAGGCGACUUCCUGGCCUAAAACUGACGCUGAGGUGCGAAAGCGUGGGUAGCAAACGGGAUUAGAAACCCUAGUAGUCC